ACCGGGAUGUUCAUAACCCUUUGUUGUCCGACUCUGUUGCCUCCGGGGCGACCCUGCCUUCGGGCGGGGGCUCCGGGUGGACACUUCAAACUCUUGCGUAACUUUGCAGUCUGAGUAAACUUAAUUAAUAAAUUAAAACUUUUAACAACGGAUCUCUUGGUUCUGGCAUCGAUGAAGAACGCAGCGAAAUGCGAUAAGUAAUGUGAAUUGCAGAAUUCAGUGAAUCAUCGAAUCUUUGAACGCACAUUGCGCCCCCUGGUAUUCCGGGGGGCAUGCCUGUUCGAGCGUCAUUUCACCACUCAAGCCUCGCUUGGUAUUGGGCAACGCGGUCCGCCGCGUGCCUCAAAUCGACCGGCUGGGUCUUCUGUCCCCUAAGCGUUGUGGAAACUAUUCGCUAAAGGGUGUUCGGGAGGCUACGCCGUAAAACAACCCCAUUUCUAAGGUUGACCUCGGAUCAGGUAGGGAUACCCGCUGAACUUAAGCAUAU
RNAcentral lists this ribosomal RNA (487 nucleotides) under uncultured fungus. RNAcentral describes it as "eukaryotic LSU rRNA". The stretch from base 137 to 290 matches the Rfam family "5.8S ribosomal RNA". The record is from RNAcentral. Lineage: Eukaryota; Fungi.